RNAcentral lists this long non-coding RNA (802 nucleotides) under Homo sapiens (human). RNAcentral describes it as "HSALNT0182536". Lineage: Eukaryota; Metazoa; Chordata; Mammalia; Primates; Hominidae. The record is from RNAcentral.
CUUCUUACUAGUCAAACUCCAUCUACCACCCCCCAUUCUUUCCACACCCACAGCAAUUCAAACAGGGAGGCUUCUGAGGCAACCAGUUAAAGCCCUCUUUUAUAGAUGAGGAAACUGAUGCUUGCAGAAGUGAAUGACCAGCCUAAGGCCCACAGCUGAAAUUACAUCAUGUCUCAGGAAGUCUCCUCUCUCCAACAGAACCAGCGGAUAUUCUCAGCCAAGGCUUUGCAAGUAAGAAAAGAAGAUAAAUGGAUCCUGGUGCCGUUGUUUAAAGUGUGCAUGCUUGCUACAGAGUCUUCAUUUCAUAGUCCAGCCUCAACCAAUUCACCUAUGCAUUACGUUCCCACUGCCUCGCUUCUCACUGAAACGAACAAGACAUGGGUGAGGAGGAAAGUUUGCACUUGUUGUCUGUGCACUUCUUACAUAAAGUACAAUUGUUUUCUAUCCUUGGCCUUUGACCAAAAGUGAGCCAGCUAAUAGUUUAACUUCCACUCAAACAAACAUUUUAACCUGUAAUCAGAAGAGUUGAAAAUAGCAAAUUUCUGGGGAUUCCAUUUCUUUCAUGAUACCUUCUCCACUUUCUCAGAAGAAAACUAACAAAACAUGCUUGCCUUACUUAGUUUGAAAAAAAUUGAGACUGCUGUCUUUACUCUUCACCCAAAAGAUACGUUCCUUUGUUCCUCAAUCUGAAAUGCAUUUCCCAUAUCUGCAUAUUACAUUAAAAUCUUCCUUUCUAAUAUCUUUUUAAAGGACUAGCUUUGUGUUCAACUCUUACUAAGCCCUAUAUAUCCCCAUCAUGGUU